GAUGAAGAACGCAGCAAAAUGCGAUAAGUAAUGUGAAUUGCAGAAUUCAGUGAAUCAUCGAAUCUUUGAACGCACAUUGCGCCCGCCAGUAUUCUGGCGGGCAUGCCUGUUCGAGCGUCAUUUCAACCCCCAAGCACAGCUUGGUGUUGGGACUCGCGUUAAUUCGCGUUCCCCAAAUUGAUUGGCGGUCACGUCGAGCUUCCAUAGCGUAGUAGUAAAACCCUCGUUACUGGUAAUCGUCGCGGCCACGCCGUUAAACCCCAACUUCUGAAUGUUGACCUCGGAUCAGGUAGGAAUACCCGCUGAACUUAAGCAUAUCAAUAAGCGGAGGA
Molecule: unclassified non-coding RNA, 332 nt
Filed under: soil metagenome
Description: partial contains 5.8S ribosomal RNA, internal transcribed spacer 2, and large subunit ribosomal RNA
Rfam family: 5.8S ribosomal RNA (bases 1-120)
Source: RNAcentral